This 484-nucleotide ribosomal RNA is filed under the name uncultured bacterium. Its description in RNAcentral is "partial 16S ribosomal RNA". It matches the Rfam family "Bacterial small subunit ribosomal RNA", at positions 28 to 523 of the family's 1533-position model. The record is from RNAcentral.
GACGAACGCUGGCGGCGUGCUUAACACAUGCAAGUCGAACGAUGAAGCCGGAGCUUGCUCUGGUGAAUUAGUGGCGAACGGGUGAGUAACACGUGAGUAACCUGCCCUUGACUCCGGGAUAACUGCGGGAAACUGUAGCUAAUACUGGAUACGACCCUCGGAGGCAUCUCCUGGGGGUGGAAAGAAUUUCGGUCAAGGAUGGACUCGCGGCCUAUCAGCCAGUUGGUGAGGUAAAGGCUCACCAAGGCGACGACGGGUAGCCGGCCUGAGAGGGGGACCGGCCACACUGGGACUGAGACACGGCCCAGACUCCUACGGGAGGCAGCAGUGGGGAAUAUUGCACAAUGGGCGCAAGCCUGAUGCAGCAACGCCGCGUGAGGGAUGACGGCCUUCGUGUUGUAAACCUCUUUUAGCAGGGAAGAAGCGAAAGUGACGGUACCUGCAGAAAAAGCACCGGCUAACUACGUGCCAGCCGCCGCGGUAA